Molecule: long non-coding RNA, 1302 nt
Organism: Papaver somniferum (opium poppy)
Lineage: Eukaryota; Viridiplantae; Streptophyta; Magnoliopsida; Ranunculales; Papaveraceae
Exons: 3
Source: RefSeq, a predicted model, not a curated record
AUUCCUUUCUCUCCCCAUACCUUUUUUUUUUCUCUCAACUGACUUUGAUUCUCUCUUCUCUCUCUUCCCGGUUCUAAAGAUAUCUUGUUGAGUUUGUUCAAGUUCCAUUUUUUCUUUUGCUUCCUCGAGCAAAAGAAUUAUGUCGAGAAAACAUGAAUGAUUGUAUGGAGGUGUUGUUCAUAGGAUCUGAAGGAAAGAAUGCUACACGUAUCUAUAGGGAUUUUAAUGAAGAAAAGAGGUUUAUCAAAUAAGAUAUGAAGAAACUAAAGUGAUGAAGAGAAGAAAUCAAAUAGGAAGAGAACAAGGAUACGAAGAUGAGGAGAAGAAGUCUUGAUGAAAUAAAAAGAGAACAAGGUUAUGAAGAAUGGUUUGUCUCUUUUGGAACUAAUUACUCCCUGUAUCUGCUCUAUCAACAAGAAUUAAGGAAAAAAAAGAUGAUUCAAAAGAAAGGAAUAAAACGGGUUCAGUCUUUAUUUGGAAGCAACAGCCGCUGCAUCUCUCCAUCUUCUCUCUGUAAAAGUUUUUUAGAUCCUUAAUUUUGCGUAAAUGAAAAUCAUGGAAGCAAUGAAUCAGGACAUUAAAUGGAUCAAUGGAUAUUGAAAGUUGAAAGCUAUUACUUUCACCACCCACAUGGAGUACAUGAAAAGUCAAAAGUAGCAACUCAUUUUUAUGACUAGCGGAGUUACAAGAGGAAAUCAAACAGAGGGAUUUAUGUAUCGGCUCGGCUCCGCUGGCCGGAUGGAAAUGUUUCUCAGCUGCUGAAUGGUCCACCCCAUGCUGUAAUAAAUUGGAAACUGACUCAGCUCCAGUAUAGUAAAGGGCCUAAACAUGACACAUUGACAAGACAGCAUGGGUGGGGCAAUUGUUGUUAUUAUUAUGCGGUCGAAAACGAUAUGACCACAUGCUGUAGGGCAGAAAAGAAAGAGAAAGGCGGAUGGGAUGGGUACAUACCACUGAUUUGAUAUGACCGCAUCGUUUCCAAACCCCAUUCAACCACGGUAAUGAGUUGGUUAUCAAAGUAUCAACGAGUCAGCUCUCUCCCAUAAGAUCGAUCUCAGCUAUCCACCGACAGCGGCAGUGGUUUUGUGCUAGAACUUACAAGUUGCAGUCAGCUCAUUUUUGCAGUCCCAAGUAUUAGCAAUAAUUUUGUGUUAGGCCGAGCACUACGUACGGUGGGUAAUCUCGGUUGGCUAUAAUUUUGUGUUUCUUCUUUUUUGAAUUAAAAUCCAAACGUUGAUGUGAAUGUAAUAUUCAUUAAAAUCAAAUGAAGAAAGACCAACUUAAUGUGUCAUACGAUGCUAA